Molecule: ribosomal RNA, 491 nt
Filed under: uncultured bacterium
Lineage: Bacteria
Description: partial 16S ribosomal RNA
Rfam family: Bacterial small subunit ribosomal RNA
Source: RNAcentral
AGUGAACGCUGGCGGUAGGCCUAACACAUGCAAGUCGAACGGCAGCACAGUAAGAGCUUGCUCUUACGGGUGGCGAGUGGCGGACGGGUGAGGAAUACAUCGGAAUCUACUUUUUCGUGGGGGAUAACGUAGGGAAACUUACGCUAAUACCGCAUACGACCUACGGGUGAAAGCAGGGGAUCUUUGGACCUUGCGCGAUUGAAUGAGCCGAUGUCGGAUUAGCUAGUUGGCGGGGUAAAGGCCCACCAAGGCGACGAUCCGUAGCUGGUCUGAGAGGAUGAUCAGCCACACUGGAACUGAGACACGGUCCAGACUCCUACGGGAGGCAGCAGUGGGGAAUAUUGGACAAUGGGCGCAAGCCUGAUCCAGCCAUACCGCGUGGGUGAAGAAGGCCUUCGGGUUGUAAAGCCCUUUUGUUGGGAAAGAAAAGCAGCAGGUUAAUACCCCGCUGUUCUGACGGUACCCAAAGAAUAAACACCGGCUAACUUCGU